GUCCCCAUCGUCUAGCGGUUAGGACAUCGCCCUUUCACGGCGGUAACAGGGGUUCGAAUCCCCUUGGGGACGCCA
This 75-nucleotide transfer RNA is filed under the name Suttonella ornithocola. Its description in RNAcentral is "tRNA-Glu(ttc)". It matches the Rfam family "tRNA". From Rfam's summary of the family: Transfer RNA (tRNA) molecules are approximately 80 nucleotides in length. The record is from RNAcentral. RNAcentral also lists the same sequence under 3 other names. Lineage: Bacteria; Pseudomonadati; Pseudomonadota; Gammaproteobacteria; Cardiobacteriales; Cardiobacteriaceae.